GUUUGAUCCUGGCUCAGGAUGAACGCUAGCGGCAGGCCUAACACGUGCAAGUCGAGGGGUAGAGGGUGCUUGCAUCCUUGAGACCGGCGCACGGGUGCGUAACGCGUAUGCAACCUGCCUUCCACAGGGGAAUAGCCCAGAGAAAUUUGGAUUAAUGCCCCAUGGCACAUCGAGACGGCAUCGUCUUGGUGUUAAAGUAACAACGGUGGAAGAUGGGCAUGCGUCCCAUUAGCUAGUUGGUAAGGUAACGGCUUACCAAGGCUAUGAUGGGUAGGGGUCCUGAGAGGGAGAUCCCCCACACUGGUACUGAGACACGGACCAGACUCCUACGGGAGGCAGCAGUGAGGAAUAUUGGUCAAUGGUCGCAAGACUGAGCCAGCCAUGCCGCGUGCAGGAUGACGGUCCUAUGGAUUGUAAACUGCUUUUGUACGAGAAGAAACACUCCUACGUGUAGGGGCUUGACGGUACCGUAAGAAUAAGGAUCGGCUAACUCCGUGCCAGCAGCCGCGGUAAUACGGAGGAUCCGAGCGUUAUCCGGAAUCAUUGGGUUUAAAGGGUCCGUAGGCGGCCCUGUAAGUCAGCGGUGAAAUCUCCCGGCUCAACCGGGAAACUGCCGUUGAUACUGCAGGGCUUGAAUUGCCGGGAAGUAACUAGAAUAUGUAGUGUAGCGGUGAAAUGCUUAGAUAUUACAUGGAAUACCGAUUGCGAAGGCAGGUUACUACCGGCGUAUUGACGCUGAUGGACGAAAGCGUGGGGAGCGAACAGGAUUAGAUACCUUGGUAGUCCACGCCGUAAACGAUGGAUACUAGCUGUCCGGCGCAAGCUGGGUGGCUAAGCGAAAGUGAUAAGUAUCCCACCUGGGGAGUACGUACGCAAGUUUGAA
RNAcentral lists this ribosomal RNA (883 nucleotides) under uncultured bacterium. Its description in RNAcentral is "bacterial SSU rRNA". It matches the Rfam family "Bacterial small subunit ribosomal RNA", at positions 11 to 898 of the family's 1533-position model. The record is from RNAcentral.